This 253-nucleotide ribosomal RNA is filed under the name uncultured bacterium. RNAcentral describes it as "partial 16S ribosomal RNA". It matches the Rfam family "Bacterial small subunit ribosomal RNA", at positions 524 to 776 of the family's 1533-position model. The record is from RNAcentral.
UACGAGGGGGGCAAGCGUUGUUCGGAAUUAUUGGGCGUAAAGGGUGCGUAGGCGGUUUUGUAAGUCUUGUGUGAAAUCUUCAGGCUCAACUUGAAGACUGCUCGAGAAACUGCAGGGCUUGAGUGUGGGAGAGGUGAGUGGAAUUCCUGGUGUAGCGGUGAAAUGCGUAGAUAUCAGGAGGAACACCGGUGGCGAAGGCGGGUCUCUGGGCAGUAACUGACGCUGAGGAGCGAAAGCGUGGGGAGCGAACAGG